This 449-nucleotide ribosomal RNA is filed under the name uncultured bacterium. Its description in RNAcentral is "partial 16S ribosomal RNA". It matches the Rfam family "Bacterial small subunit ribosomal RNA", at positions 29 to 523 of the family's 1533-position model. The record is from RNAcentral.
AACGAACGCUGGCGGCAGGCCUAACACAUGCAAGUCGAACGCUGCAGCAAUGCAGAGUGGCAGACGGGUGAGUAACGCGUGGGAACCUUCCCAGUGGUACGGAAUAGCUCAGGGAAACUUGAGGUAAUACCGUAUAAGCCCCUUGGGGGAAAGAUUUAUCGCCAUUGGAUGGGCCCGCGUCGGAUUAGCUAGUUGGUGAGGUAAUGGCUCACCAAGGCGACGAUCCGUAGCUGGUCUGAGAGGAUGAUCAGCCACACUGGGACUGAGACACGGCCCAGACUCCUACGGGAGGCAGCAGUGGGGAAUAUUGGACAAUGGGCGCAAGCCUGAUCCAGCCAUGCCGCGUGAGUGACGAAGGCCUUAGGGUUGUAAAGCUCUUUUGGCGGGGACGAUAAUGACGGUACCCGCAGAAUAAGCUCCGGCUAACUUCGUGCCAGCCGCCGCCGUAA